RNAcentral lists this transfer RNA (69 nucleotides) under Cordylochernes scorpioides. Its description in RNAcentral is "tRNA-Gly". Lineage: Eukaryota; Metazoa; Arthropoda; Arachnida; Pseudoscorpiones; Chernetidae. The record is from RNAcentral.
UGCAUUGGCCGGGAAUCGAACCCGAGGCGCCCGCGUGGCAGGCGAGCAUUCUACCACUGAACCAAAAGC